GUGUUCAUUUUGGUAGCACAUAUAUUAAAAUUGGAAUGGCACAGAAGAUUAGCAUGGCCCUUGUGCAAGGAUGAAAUAAGUUCAAAUAUAGCCUCAGAUACUUAUU
Small nuclear RNA from Gracilinanus agilis (Agile Gracile Mouse Opossum), 106 nucleotides. Lineage: Eukaryota; Metazoa; Chordata; Mammalia; Didelphimorphia; Didelphidae. The record is from RefSeq and is a predicted model, not a curated record.